GGAAAUGUUCUCAGAACUUUUAUUUUAAAAAAUGGAUGUUUUGAACCUUUCAGAAAUAAUGUUUUCUUAACUCAAUGGGAACAUUAGCAAAAUGUUCUUGGAAUAUGUUUUUGUUAGCUUGGACAGAGGAACAUUGACGAUGAAAUGCCAGUAUGUUGAGUUUGGGAUGCUGCUGUUCUACACCUAAUUUAACCAGCAAACCUCUCUUGUUCAGGCAGCUUUGUCAACUGUAAACUGACAUUUUUAACAGUAAUAUUUAAGAAAUGGAACAUUUCACAGUCCACGCUGAUGUUUGAUUGUUUGAUUAACAUACCUUUGUGGUUAAAGAAAGGUUGUUGAAAUCCAGCAAGGGUCAAUCCAUGAAAUCUCACCAUUGUGUCCUUGAGCAAACUCUCAGGAACUAAACUUGUAAGAAGUGCACUGAAAGACGCAGUGGACAGAAGCAGCUACAAAGUGCCGAAUAUGUGUUUUAUGUAAUGUAUGGUUUUAUAGUAUAUUUUGUGACUGUUACUGACUGCUGCUCAAGCUGUGUACUGGUGUUCAGCAUCUGAAUUGUAUUUUAAUCACAGUUCACAAAUGUGUGUUCAGUGAUAAAACAAUGACAUUUGAUAUUUAUUGUAGCUUUCAGAUGUUUGCUGCUACCACUGAAUGUCUUAAUUGUUGAAAUGUGCAAAAGUGAAUGUUCUUCUUUGUAUUUUGUUGCAUCAAAAGUGUUGUAAAGUAUAACAUGCUGCCAUUUGAGAUACUGAUUAGGUUUUUUACUGCCAAGUUCUUGCAUUUCAUGUGAGGAGGGAGAUGGAGACCUGUGGGGCGUGUAAGAAUGUCAUCACUGCAUGAUAGAAAUGAUCGCCUGUAUUUGAACAGGAAAAGUUCAUCAGACCUGUUGCCCGUUCAGAGUCAUCUCAACUGCCUACUGAACACUGUCUUACAAGAACAAUAGGAUUUAUAAAUGCCAUCAUGGUGCCUAUUUUUGUAAUGGUAAUUUUAUAGGAAAAAUUGCUCUGUCAGAGCUGAAGUACCAAUAGGCCAAACUCCUCAAAAGCCUGUGACACAAGCUCUGGAAGAGCUGAUCAUUUAGUGCCUUUUUGAGCUGAAUAUCUUGACACAAUUUCUUUGCUUUCUUUAACAUUGCUUCAGCCAAGGAAAGGGUGCCUUAUACUUUGAGCCCCUGCAUUUUCUUACAGAUGGAUGGCAAUAAAAACGGAUCUGAUUAACCCAUAACUGCUGAAAUCUGUAAGUUUG
This 1242-nucleotide long non-coding RNA is filed under the name Sinocyclocheilus anshuiensis. Its description in RNAcentral is "lncRNA (ENSSANG00000012897.1)". Lineage: Eukaryota; Metazoa; Chordata; Actinopteri; Cypriniformes; Cyprinidae. The record is from RNAcentral.